UGGUAACGACUACACGUGGCUAGUGCAGCAUUAGCCAUUUAAACCAACGAUGAUCAUUAAAUCUAUUAUAAACAUUUAAGGACUUGUGUGUUGUAAAAGAGCCUCACAUGGUGUGUAAAGCAGUUUUUGCGCUAAUAGUUCUGCUAGCUCUUUACAAACCUAUGAUGCUAACGUUAAUUGCUAACGUUAACCGGAGCGCUAAGCUUCAAGCUGCUGACGAACUCCGUCAAGACAUGCAGAUCAGCAUCAAUGUCCACGUGAAGAACCUAGUUAUGUUGCCAGUGUCAACCCAACAAAAGGCACUUUCACAAUAUAUAAAAGAAGUGUAUGGAACUGAGGUGCUUCUCAGGAGCUGCUUCAGUUGUUGGAGGAUGGAGAAGAGGACGCAGCCAUGACUUGUGAGACGGCGUCUGAGUCAGCUACUACUCACUAGGAGAUCAGAAACAUGGUGUCCUUGCAAAAGUGGAAAGAGGCCAGGCCUUGUCUUAUAGACAAUAUGUUAGCUACUCUGGAUCCACUGUCACACCGUGUGUGUCAGUGUGGCAAACAAGUAGUUGUGAGGUGUCUGGACUGCCUGCCUCUUCCAUUCCUUUGUGCUGAGUGUGAUAUUGCAGUUCACACACGCUUUGUCCUGCACAACCAAGAGGCAGUAACAGGAGGGUUUUUGCAGCCUUCAUCAGAGUUUCACAAGCCAAUAGUUCGGCUGUUGCCUGUGCAAAGGCCAGACCAUGUGUGUGACUGCCCAGCAGGUAACGUUGAGGUUUCACCCGGCGCAGUUGUGGCUCUUGUAACCAUAAAUGGCUGUUAUAACCUUGCACUGCCAGUGGUGAGCUGCACCAGCUGUGACCUAAUGUGGUCCCCCUCAGUUAAGGACAUCCUGGGUAGUGGAUAUUGGCCUGGCACCUUAAAUUUCUGCACCCUGUUUUCAAUGGAUGUCUUUCAGUCUUUCUAUGACAUUAAGAAGGCUGCACCAGGGAUGUCACUUAAGGCAUUUGUCAAAAUGCUGG
Oreochromis aureus is the source of this 1007-nucleotide long non-coding RNA. RefSeq lists it as uncharacterized. The transcript is spliced from 5 exons. The record is from RefSeq and is a predicted model, not a curated record. Lineage: Eukaryota; Metazoa; Chordata; Actinopteri; Cichliformes; Cichlidae.